GGGCGAUGAGGAGUUCGUCUUCUGGUUGAUCUGUGCCCGCUGGUAGAAAGGUCCAUUUAACCACAGGUAACGCUGUGUUGCGACGUCGCUGGGAAACAACACAACCACUCGAGUGCAGUACUGAAAGGCUCUACAGUGGUUGCUGGCAAACAUCGCCCCCUUGUGGAAAAACUGCCAGCUGCGUCUUUCCUGGGUUCACAGCAUCGGGCUCGUCACUGUGCCGGACCUCUGUCAUCACACGCCUCUGGACACCGCUGCAUCGGAGCGUUCUGAUUGGCUGAGAUGGCUCAAAGAGUGCAACUGAGGCUGUGGUUGAGAGCAGAUAAAAUUUAGGGCCAUGUGCACCAGUUGAUGCAAACAUUUCUCUUUUAAAAAACUAUUUAGACUCCAUCCUCAUGUCUUCCUCACAGUCAUUUAUAAAAUAGAACAGAAGACAGAUGAGCUACACUGUGUUUAUCUGAGGAGCCUGGAAAGAAAGUGAGUGGACUUUUAAGUUUAAGUUCCUUGAAGACGUUUCACCUCUGAUCAGAGAAGCUUCUUCAGUUCUGAGACCAAAUGGUGCAGAGUCCCAGCUAUUUAAGCCCUAGUGGGAUUUGUCCCUUAAGAGGGUUGUUGACCCACUAUUGAUCAUGUGACUCAUCACAUGAGUGGCAGACCUACAGCCACCCCCUCUGUUCAAAGAUCACAGGUGACAUAUAUGGCUUCUUUCACUCCUCUUUCAAACCAUCUGUCAUCUCUGUCCAAAAUCUGAACACUGGCAUCCUUGAAAGAGUGACCUUUGACCUUUAGAUGCAGCUGAGACAGCUGAGUCUCAUCCUGUCGAGGUGGCUCUUCUAUGUUGUGCCAUGCGUUUAUGAAUUGGCUGUUUGGUUUCUCCAAUGUAGACGUCUGAGCACUCCUUGCUGCACUGCACAGCACUGUACACUAUGUUGUUUACUUUGUGUUUCAGUUUCGUUCUUGGGAUGUACCAGAUUCUGUCUGAGGUUGUGGCUCGGUCUAAAGUGCACUGGGAUGCCAAGAAGAAGGGUUGUAAGUUUUGAAUAGCUCGGAUGAGAGAUGAAACGUCUUCAAGUGCCUUAGAUGACCAUGACCUGGAUGAUUGAGAACCUACAUAGACAUACAUUGUGUUUAGUCUUAUGGUACACAACAUAUUUAUGAGCUUA
Long non-coding RNA from Oreochromis niloticus (Nile tilapia), 1163 nucleotides. RefSeq lists it as uncharacterized. The record is from RefSeq and is a predicted model, not a curated record. The transcript has 3 exons. Lineage: Eukaryota; Metazoa; Chordata; Actinopteri; Cichliformes; Cichlidae.